This 471-nucleotide ribosomal RNA is filed under the name Rhabdophis ceylonensis. RNAcentral describes it as "partial 16S ribosomal RNA". It matches the Rfam family "Bacterial large subunit ribosomal RNA", at positions 1857 to 2607 of the family's 2925-position model. The record is from RNAcentral. Lineage: Eukaryota; Metazoa; Chordata; Lepidosauria; Squamata; Natricidae.
GCCUGCCCAGUGAACAUUAAACGGCCGCGGUACCCUAACCGUGCAAAGGUAGCAUAAUCAUUUGUCUAUUAACUGUAGACCUGUAUGAAAGGCAAAAUGAGGGUUUAACUGUCUCUUAUAGUAAAUCUAUAAAACUGAUCUACCAGUAAAAAAGCUGGAAUGUAUCCAUAAGACCAGAAGACCCUGUGAAGCUUUAACUAUACUAUUAAACCAAAUAAUAGCUACUUUGGGUUGGGGCGACCUUGGAAAUAAAAAGAACUUCCAACAAACACUCACCAGGCCUACAAGCCAAUCAACGACCCAGUAAAACUGAUAAUUGAACCAAGUUACUCCAGGGAUAACAGCGCCAUCUUCUUCAAGAGCCCAUAUCAAAAAGAAGGUUUACGACCUCGAUGUUGGAUCAGGACACCCCAAUGGUGCAACCGCUAUUAAAGGUUCGUUUGUUCAACGAUUAAUGUCCUACGUGAUCUG